RNAcentral lists this ribosomal RNA (436 nucleotides) under uncultured bacterium. RNAcentral's name for it is "bacterial SSU rRNA". It matches the Rfam family "Bacterial small subunit ribosomal RNA", at positions 335 to 762 of the family's 1533-position model. The record is from RNAcentral.
ACUCCUACGGGAGGCAGCAGUGGGGAAUAUUGCACAAUGGGGGAAACCCUGAUGCAGCCAUGCCGCGUGUGUGAAGAAGGCCUUCGGGUUGUAAAGCACUUUCAGUAGGGAGGAAGGUAGUGUAGUUAACACCUGCACUAUUUGACGUUACCUACAGAAGAAGCACCGGCUAACUCCGUGCCAGCAGCCGCGGUAAUACGGAGGGUGCGAGCGUUAAUCGGAAUUACUGGGCGUAAAGCGCAUGCAGGCGGCCUGUUAAGUCAGAUGUGAAAGCCCGGGGGCUUAACCUCGGAAUUGCAUUUGAAACUGGCAGGCUAGAGUCUUGUAGAGGGGGGUAGAAUUUCAGGUGUAGCGGUGAAAUGCGUAGAGAUCUGAAGGAAUACCAGUGGCGAAGGCGGCCCCCUGGACAAAGACUGACGCUCAGAUGCGAAAGCGU